CAAAGGUUUGGUCCUAGCCUUUUUAUUGGCAUCUAGUAAACUUACACAUGCAAAUAUCCUUGCCCCGGUGAGAAUGCCCUCUAUAUCAACAUGAUCAAAAGGAGCAGGCAUCAAGCUCACUACCCACAGUUGCUCAUAACGCCUUGCUCAACCACACCCCCACGGGACACAGCAGUGAUUAAGAUUAAGCUCAUGAACGAAAGUUCGACUAAGUUAUACUAAUACAUGGGUUGGUUAAUUUCGUGCCAGCCACCGCGGUCAUACGAUUAACCCUUGUCAAUAAAGCACGGCGUAAAGCGUGAUUAAAAGAUUAACCCUAAUAAGACUAAGCCCAAACUAAGCUGUAAAAAGCCCUAGUUUUAACAAAAAUAAUUAAACGAAAGAAGUCUUAGGAAUUUUGAACUCACGAUAGCUAAGACCCAAACUGGGAUUAGAUACCCCACUAUGCUUAGCCCUAAACAUAAACACUCAACUAACAAGAAUGUUCGCCAGAGUACUACUAGCCACAGCUUAAAACUCAAAGGACUUGGCGGUGCUUUACAUCCCUCUAGAGGAGCCUGUUCUAUAAUCGAUAAACCCCGAUACACCUUACCACCCUUUGCAAAUAUCAGCCUAUAUACCGCCAUCUUCAGCGAACCUUAACAAAGCCUCAUAGUAAGCGCAAUAAUUCAACAUAAAUACGUUAGGUCAAGGUGUAGCCCAUAGGGUGGGAAGAAAUGGGCUACAUUUUCUAUUCACUAGAACAUUUCUACGAUAGCUUUUAUGAAACUCAAAGCCCAAGGCGGAUUUAGUAGUAAGCCAGGAAUAGAGAGCCUAGCUGAAUCGGGCAAUAAAGCACGCACACACCGCCCGUCACCCUCUUCAAGUUCUACAAACAAAUAACAAUAAUUAAUUUAUACUAUUAAUAGUACAAGAAGAGAUAAGUCGUAACAAGGUAAGCAUACUGGAAAGUGUGUUUGGAAUAAU
Molecule: non-coding RNA, 966 nt
Filed under: Sundasciurus everetti (Bornean mountain ground squirrel)
Lineage: Eukaryota; Metazoa; Chordata; Mammalia; Rodentia; Sciuridae
Description: Dremomys everetti 12S ribosomal RNA
Rfam family: Bacterial small subunit ribosomal RNA
Source: RNAcentral